UACAGAGGGUGCGAGCGUUAAUCGGAAUUACUGGGCGUAAAGCGCGCGUAGGCGGCUUUGCAAGUCGGGUGUGAAAUCCCCAGGCUUAACCUGGGAACUGCAUUCGAGACUGCAUUGCUAGAGUAUGGGAGAGGGAAGUGGAAUUUCCGGUGUAGCGGUGAAAUGCGUAGAUAUCGGAAGGAACAUCAGUGGCGAAAGCGACUUCCUGGACCAGCACUGACACUGAGGCACGAAAGCGUGGGGAGCAAACAGG
RNAcentral lists this ribosomal RNA (253 nucleotides) under uncultured bacterium. Its description in RNAcentral is "partial 16S ribosomal RNA". It matches the Rfam family "Bacterial small subunit ribosomal RNA", at positions 524 to 776 of the family's 1533-position model. The record is from RNAcentral.